GUGGCACCUAACAACCAUAACGGCUCACUGGCAAGCUCGUCGACCCAUUAUAUUGGUGUGGAGCAAGAGACAACGCCCGCACGGGAGGUGAGGAGACUUCAUCCUUCAUAGAGAAGCUCCUUAGUAAAGACAAUGUCAAAGAUUUACCGAAAGAGAGGGAACGGCGACACUUGCUUUUGUAGUAAGUUCCUCAUCCGGCUUGCAAGAGACUUUGGGGUGUGCCCAAAACCUCAAUAGAGGGAGCUUUAUUGACUUGGUGCCUAUGUUUGGUAUAGCUCGAACAUGGACUAAAAAUAGCAUUUGCCUAUUGAUACCAGAGAUAAAUAUAUUCUAAAUUUAUAUUUGUGUAUUGUAGUGGAAACCAUAUAUUAA
RNAcentral lists this long non-coding RNA (372 nucleotides) under Setaria viridis. RNAcentral's name for it is "long non-coding RNA (SVIR_LNC008145)". The record is from RNAcentral. Lineage: Eukaryota; Viridiplantae; Streptophyta; Magnoliopsida; Poales; Poaceae.